UAAACAAAUAAGUUUUUGCGUAAUAAUUAAAAUAAUAAGUUUUUAUGUUGUAGUUGAAAUAAAAAAUCUCAAUAACUCAUUAAUAAUUGAUUUAAUUUGUAUAACUCCAUACUGCCAAAAAUGGACAUAGUGCAACAACAUCAACAACAACAACAACAACAACAACAACAAUAACAACAACAACAAUGACAACAACAUUAAUAGUGUUUUUUUAAAUCUUCCUAAAAAUGGUACGAAACUAUAUUAACGAAUCACAACAAAGAAGAAACAAUGUUAUUGGCAGUGGUACAAAUUACACAAUAUAAAAGAUCAAGUAGUAGAGAGUUUAAUAUACCAAGUAAUAACCUAGAAAGGUUAUGCAUAUCCAAAAGAUUGCCAUCUACAUCUAACGCUUCGGUUCAAACUGAAGCUGAACUUAAUUGUCAAAUAAUUCCUCCAAAUUCUAACAAUUAUAAAAUAUUUAAUGUUAAUUAACAUUAGCCAAGUUCAUCACAUAAACCUGAUAACGCAGCUAUAUGUGGAUGACGGAGACCUUUUUUUCUAAAUAUAUCAAACAUAUUUUUAUCCAUGCAUGUUGUUUCAACAAUCGCCCUUGUCUGGUAUUAAUUGACAACCAUAGCUCUUACCUUGAUGUAGCAGUGCUUGAUUUUUGUAAAGAAAAUGGUAUCACACUUUUAUUUUUUCCAGCACAAUUGGUAAGCUACCAUUAUUACCACCUUUAGAUAGAAUUGUUUAAGGUCCUUUUUUUAAAAGUUUGAACUCAGAGUGUGAUGCAUGGGUUACUGUAAACAAACGACCUAUGAUUUUCUAUGACGUAUUUGGUAUAGUAAGAACAGGACUUCCCAAUGCUCUAAGGAACGCAGUCAGUGAUUUGUUUUAUUUUUGUUAAAUGAAAAAAAAUCUUUUUUGAAUGGAUAAAUAUCUUUGCAAAGCAACAGGUAAUUAUCUAUCUAACAAAGAUAUUCUAAAAAAAAAUGAUUUUCUCAUAUUUAAUAGACAAGACUCACUGAAGUGUCAUCUUUUGAUUUUAUCAUCAAUAAACAAACACCUAACAAUGAAGUUUCAGCUGUGUAUUGUAAACAAACACAAAGCAACAAGGUGUCAGCUGUGGAUUGUAAACAAAAUAUUCUCAAAAAACUGUCUUGUGUCUUAGUUGCUUCAAACCAUUCUCAAAUAGCCUUCAAAGUGCUAUGUGAAUACAGUGUUCAAGCUGUGAGUGGUGGGCAUAUUUUAGUUGUGUAGAAAAAGAUGUCAAGGGAUUAGAUUAUAUAUAUUUCUACUGUUGUAAAUAAAAUAUUAUUGUUA
Molecule: long non-coding RNA, 1305 nt
Organism: Hydra vulgaris (swiftwater hydra)
Lineage: Eukaryota; Metazoa; Cnidaria; Hydrozoa; Anthoathecata; Hydridae
Source: RefSeq, a predicted model, not a curated record